Molecule: long non-coding RNA, 2599 nt
Organism: Eublepharis macularius
Lineage: Eukaryota; Metazoa; Chordata; Lepidosauria; Squamata; Eublepharidae
Exons: 5
Source: RefSeq, a predicted model, not a curated record
GCCUUUCUUCAAUGGCGCCGUGGCGAAGGUGUGUGUGUGGGGGUGAGGGAACCCCGGGUUUAGCAGGCAUUUUACUGUCCAAUGUAAUGGGCAAUUUACUACUGGGACACUUGGAGUGUCUGCCUGCCUUGCACGAGGGGAGAAAGCAGCAGGAGAAUUGGAGGUGCUCUUCUUUUCACCCACACCCACUGCAAAUGAUGAAGCAUGAAUUUGAGGCCACCAGUCCUUUUGUGAUCUUAUUAUACUGGAUGGUGCCAGCCUUUUGGGGCCUGGGCCUGACGAUCUCCCCAGGAUGAAGAUUACCACAUUGUGGAAAAUAUGGCUGCCUUCAGGGGCAUCCGCUGUCAGAAUAAGAUUGGUUACGGAGUCUUCCAAACCCAGGCCUUUCAGUGUUGUUUCUUAGAAGGACGCAACCUGAUCCAUGUCUGAGAGCUUGCAGGUAUAAGAGGCUGCUUGGGAUUGAGGGGAAGGGGGCCAAACAAAGUGCACUGCAAGCACAGCUGUGCCACAUGGAAGACAUCACAGGUUAGUGGCUCAGUGCUUGCCCUGCAUACAAAAAGUCCCUGGUCUAGCCCUAGGAAUCUCCAGUUAAAUUGUGGAUGGGGGAGAAACUAAAUCCUGAUCUUAAGGUCUCUCUUCUGCCUGGUAUGUAGAAUGCCUGGCAGGUUGGAAUAGAUGGUGUUGUGUUGGUGUUGGGUGGAGCUGCUAUCAGCGUGGAUGUUUGGUUUGCUGGGAUUCAGAAACAAUGGUGGCCUCCAGUUGAUCCUGACAGACUCCAGGACCUUUAAAAGGACUUGAGUGUUCUAUUUGGUGGUGGAGAGAUACUGGCUACUGGUUUUUAUUUUUGCAUACGAAGGCUGCCAUUAUCCUUUCUUUCUAGAAUGCUAAAGAGUGCAACCUGAUACCACCUCCGCUCAGCACCAUUUUAUUCAGAUCUAUCUGCAUUCUACACAGGAUGCAAACAAAUGUAUAGGACCUGAAUCAUAAUUUCUUUCUCCCCACUCCCUCCUUUCUGAAGUUCUAGAAAACUUGAGAAAGCAUGCAUAUAAUUUUGGUUGGUCCUAAUUAAAAACAAGAAUUAAACAAUUUUUGGUUUGGAUAUAGAAUUUUAACUGGCAGGAGGCACUAGGACUUUGCAGGCAUGUUGGCCAGAUUCAGUCCCCGAAGCCACUUGGAUUUCUGGGAAAGAACAGUGAUACCUUAGGUUGUCUGUUGGGAGUAUAUACAGCAGCCCUGGAGCUAAAGCUUAAUGCAUAUUUCUUACCGUUUAGUCUCAGGCAAGCUGAUGUCCCAGUUCUUGGGAUAAACUCUCAAGAUACCAAGUGAUGGGGCUGGCCCUGCAGAAAUCCAGAAGCUUUUUAAAAUUGGAUUUUCCCACACAUCUAGUUUUGUACUAAUCCCUUCAGACAGGAAUUGUUGGGUAUUCUGUAUGAUCAGUAAAAUGCUCAAAGUAGUUUGAACUUAAUGUCUGAAUGUCUGUUUCUUUAGCAUAACUUAUGCUUUGUUUUAAUAAAGUUUAACUUUGGAGGAAGAGACCGGAGGAACUAGAUGGUGAGGUAAUGGAAGACAGGAGUGAUUAGAAGUGGGAAUGAGAGACGUGCAUUCAAGUGGCAUUGCUGAAUAUUAAAGAAUAACCCAGCUCCACACACAUUUGCAAAUUAUACACAGCUUUUAUGCUGUGCUUAACCCAGCUGGCACUACCGUUCUCUUUCUAAGAACUGCCUUUGCUUGUUUUCCCUGAAUAGCAGUAAAAUUGCUAGUGAGCAAAACUCUUAGGUGUGGGAACAUCAGAUACUGAAAAGGAGCAUGUACAGCCCUGAUUCCUAAAAAUUAUCUUGGUCAAUUGGGCCCACAUAGUGUAGCUCUCAACUUCCCCCAGUGCCCCCCCUGGGGAAGUUUGUGUGCAGGAGACUGAACUGCACAUACAUGAGUAUCACGCAGACAGGACGAUAUGCAAUAGGUGCCUUAUUUUCACUUUCCAUACAGCCAGCAGGGGAAGUAGUUGUGUUUGAGUAGGACUGGGAGAACAUUGUUUUGGGGUGGGGGAACCUUGGGCUGGUCAUGUUCUCUCCGCCUCCCCUAUAUCACAAGAUUCUUAGGAGAAGAAGGGGAGGAAAGGAGAACUAUGUAUGCUAUUAAGAAGAAAGUGGAGGAGAGGAGGAAAUAAGAAUUAUUUAUACUGAAUCUCUCCUAGCACGGUGCAGAGAGGCUGGUUUCUUGACUAUGAGCUGUUGCUGUUCCCUCCCAGCAUCUCUUGCGCUACAGGGCCUAGUAGGCCGCUACUAAACUGCAUGUUCUGGAAAACAGAAGUGACUGGCUUUAUUUGAAUAUGAGGUUUUCUUGUUGCCAUUGGCCCAUCUUCUCACCUUCUCCAGUACAAGACACACAUGCAAACUAAUGCCAUGCUCAGCAGACCUACUAUCACAGCCAAAGCAGUUACGGUGCGUCCUGCAAACAAAAUAGAGGAGCCGGUAUAAGUGGAACUUGCCUGACUCCUUUACUCGAGGAAAACCAAGCGGGGGCCUAAGACAUCACUAUCUUCUCCUUCACUUGGAAACGCUCCUGGCUUGCUGGGCGUCUGACAGCAACUCAGUCUGCA